RNAcentral lists this ribosomal RNA (301 nucleotides) under uncultured bacterium. Its description in RNAcentral is "partial 16S ribosomal RNA". It matches the Rfam family "Bacterial small subunit ribosomal RNA", at positions 509 to 807 of the family's 1533-position model. The record is from RNAcentral.
CAGUCGCCGCGGUAAUACGUAGGCAGCGAGCGUUGUUCGGAAUUACUGGGCGUAAAGAGUGUGUAGGCGGUGCUCUAAGUUCGGUGUGAAAUCCCCCGGCUUAACUGGGAGGGCGCGCCGGAAACUGGAAUGCUCGAACGUGGGAGAGGAAAGCGGAAUUCCUGGUGUAGCGGUGAAAUGCGUAGAUAUCAGGAGGAACACCUGCGGUGUAGACGGCUUUCUGGACCAUUGUUGACGCUGAGACACGAAAGCGUGGGUAGCAAACAGGAUUAGAUACCCGUGUAGUCCCUGUCUCUUAUAC